AACGAACGCUGGCGGCAUGCCUAACACAUGCAAGUCGAACGAGACCUUCGGGUCUAGUGGCGCACGGGUGCGUAACGCGUGGGAACCUGCCCUUAGGCUCGGAAUAACUCCCCGAAAGGGGCGCUAAUACCGGAUAAUGUCUUCGGACCAAAGAUUUAUCGCCAUUGGAUGGGCCCGCGUUGGAUUAGCUAGUUGGUAGGGUAAAAGCCUACCAAGGCGACGAUCCAUAGCUGGUCUGAGAGGAUGAUCAGCCACACUGGGACUGAGACACGGCCCAGACUCCUACGGGAGGCAGCAGUAGGGAAUAUUGGACAAUGGGCGAAAGCCUGAUCCAGCAAUGCCGCGUGAGUGAUGAAGGCCUUAGGGUUGUAAAGCUCUUUUACCCGGGAUGAUAAUGACGGUACCGGGAGAAUAAGCUCCGGCUAACUCCGUG
Molecule: ribosomal RNA, 433 nt
Filed under: uncultured bacterium
Lineage: Bacteria
Description: partial 16S ribosomal RNA
Rfam family: Bacterial small subunit ribosomal RNA
Source: RNAcentral